GCCAAGCCUCCCAGCAUUGUCUGAAAUCUCCAAAUUUAGAAGAAAUAUGAAAAUUGUCAACCACUCCUUCCUUAGGGGGUAAAAGCAACAUUCAGCACCAGGGGCAGGUCAAGGCGAGGCGGUCACGUGGUGGACGCCCGGGCCAAUGGGGGGCCCCAGAGGACUCAGCACCCGACGCGCCCCAACACUGGGCUCGCCUCUUCAGCUCAUAUAAGGUAAAAGGCAGUGGGGUCUCUGCAUCCAGGGAGCAGUGGGCUUGGGGCUAAGGGGAGGGAAGCCCGGUGCCAGCCAUUUAAAAAUGCCCAUGUGCCACUGAGGGGUGUCAGAGGUCCAGUCAAGUUAGUUGAGAAGCAGUGACACUCCCAACCAUCCCCUAUGGGCUGGCCCCUGUAUCGGGACCACAAGGAGUCACAUCUGGACCGGACUACAGGAGAGGCAAGGGCACUGGCUGCGGGGAGUCAUGCCUGCAGCCCUGAUGCUGGAAGAGCAAGCACCCCAGCGGGGGACCUUGCAGUGAACAGAGGAGGACAGGUCACAGGACCCCGGAAACAGAGCUGUGAGAGCCUCCCUGCCAGUCCCCAUCCAGCGCCCAUACCUGCUCCACACCCCCAACGCACGCUGCUGGAAGCUCCUGCAGAAAACGUGGUCCCUUGGGAUACAUGUCCAACCCAACCCUCAGAAUGACCAAGAAAUCAGGCCUCAGAAUGGGAGGAGUUGAAGAAAGACCCCUGCUGAUGUGAUGGGGUGCAGGCAAUUUGGGGCUGUGGGGUCUGGAUUGUAGAUGAGAAGAAGUGGAGCCAAAGGCAGGGAAACCAACGAGGAGUCAAGUAUCAGCCCCACCGCAUGCUCUCUGCAAAUGCGAUGGGAAGCCUGCAUGCUAUGGAGAAUGAAGGACUUGGGGGACAUGUGGGGAAGGACGGAAUCUCCCCUGGAAAGGAGUCAGCUGGUCAGACUCUAGAAACAGAUGAGCUUGGGUUGUGUGAGCCUGGUCAUAACAGAAACAGCUCACGGGGCUUUGAAAGAGCACACAAGUCUGGGCCUGGGGUGCACACAGCUUGGCUCAUGGUGAAGCUCAGGGAGCCAUAGCAGUCUUUUAAUGUGUGUCACGUUAUUCCGACACUUGCCAAUUUUUACUUCCCUACAUGUGAAGCAGGCAGGGUGGGGUGGCAGUUCCAUUAAACAGAUGGAGAGACUGAGGCCCAGGCAGGUGGAAAGAACUUAUUCAGAACCGCACAGUCAGUUGCAGAGGGUACUUCUGGUGCCAUAUUUCACGAGGAUGGAAAAAGUGGAGGGAGAUUUGGAGGUGAGCAAAGGAAGCAGGGCUCCAGCAAGGAGCUGACAAUCCAGACAUGUGACAAGGCCCAGUCCUAGCUUACAUAAGGCAACACACCUGUUCACCUCUGCACUCUCCGCACAUGUGCUUAAAUGUGUGCCCAGCACCCAGCCCGCCCUUGCUGGCCAAAGAACCAUGGAGACUGGGUCUAAACAAAUUGGAUUAGGAGGGCUGCAAGCACUCCCCACCCACCCCUGCCUGGCUGGCUCCGACACUGAGCAGGCCUGCAGACUGGCCAGCUGUGGUCUCUUGGCCACGCAGACAGUCAGUCCUCAGCCCCCUCCACCCGCCCCCAGGCCCCAGGAAGAGGGCCAGAUCCGAGAGGAUGCCACAAUGAUGGAUACACUGGAGGAGGUUCCAGGACUGACUCCAGAGCACACAGGAUGUUCACGCUUGUGCAAGGCUCAUUUUGGAGCUAUUCCCAGCAAUCCCUGCCCACGCAGCCCCCGUCCUGCCCUCCCCUCCUGCAGCCUCUCCCACGGUCACUGCUGCCAGAGCCCAGAGCUCAGGGCCCAAGCAGAGCCACUGUCAACCCUCAGUCCCACAGCAGGGCUGGGUGGGUACUGGUCAGCUUAGGAGACCACAGCCUGGGGAAGAGACACAGGCAGGCAUGCAGAGGGAAGAAGGAGCCAGUACACAGAAAGGCGAUGCUGUCGUAAAGGUGGCAUCUCAGUGCUUUCUCCCCCAUUGUUUUGUUUAAUCCUUAGGAUGUGCAUGGGAGUUAGGAGAUUGUGCCCAUAGCACGGAUGUGACUACUGAGUUUCAUUUAUUCAGUGAUUCCACACCUCUCCUUUCCUGAGCCCCGAGUCUGUGCCAGGCCCUGUGUGGGGUGCCAGGGACACCGAGAUGAAUGACUUACAGCCUCUGGCCCUGUUGUCUGACUGAGCAAUCUCCUUUGGGCCGGGUCACUGGGCCCUGAGGCCUUGGUCUUCCAGGUGAGCAGGUCCGGCAGGCAGAAUCCCUUCUCCACAUGGCACAUGUGAGUGGUUGAAUAGCAUCAGCAAGGGGAGCCUCAGCAACGGGCCCAUUCGGAGCACAGACCCUGGAGGUAGAGGUCCUGUCUUGCUCCCUUUUCAGCUGAAUAGCUGUGGCCCAGUUAGCCUCUCUGACCUGUUUUCCCUUCUGUGAAAUGGGAAUUCCAAAGGACCCACCUCCUGGGGCUAACUGAGGAUUAAUUCUUUCCAUAUCUUCAUUUGACAUGAGGAGAAAAAGGCUGACAGAGGGAAAGGGCGUGGCCAGGGUCACACCGUGAGCUGGGGUCAAGUCAGGACUGGAGGGACCCUCCUCCCCAGCCCCGUAUCCCAGUAUAAACCCUCCCUACCCGCUCUACCCCAAGCACCUAGAGGCCAGGCCGUACAUGUGACUACGGGGACAUGUCCUGGGGCCCACCUCCCCCGUCAGCCCUGCCCCAGCCUCUGCAGCACCAGAGUCCCAGGUGUGCAGCAGUGGGCCCAGGCCCUCAGCAGCGGUGGAGGGUGGAGGAGCGUAGCGCAGCGCUGGUCUCCAGGCCCGGGCAGCCUGGCCAUAUAAGGGAAGGAGAGACAGGCCUGGCUCAGGUCUGGUGAGAAAACCCAGACAGCCACUGUUUAUUUUCUCCUUCUCAGCCUCCCAGAGCUCGGAGCUUCCGGACAGGAGACAGAGGUUCCCUGCCUCAGCGACAUUUCCUGAAGACAGUGGGGAGCAGGGAGGGGAACACAGCCGGCAGGCUGCCCAGGUAAGAUUCUGAGGCCACCUGUUCAACUGCCUCCUUUGACAGAAGGGGAAGUGGAGCUGCAGAGAGAAGCGCCCAUGAGAAGUGACUGUACCAGCUGGUGGUAGAGCCUAGGUCUCCCCAGUGGCCCCCAUCUACUGGACCCAGAGUAAGAAGGAGCCUCUCAUGGGGUAAGUGUAAAAGGGCAGCUCCUGACCCCCUUCUCAGUGAGGCUGGGGUUGAAGGAGACGGGGGUCAGGGCCAUGCUGUCUGCCAAGUACGCAGGACUCAGGGGAGGAGACCCCCGGCCAGAGAGCUGGGAGAACGCCCUCCUUGCCCCCUGCUCCUCCUCCAAGGAGCCCUGCAGCCUUCCCAGACUCAGGAACCUCUUUGUCCUUGGAGCUCUCCGCAGGCCCUUCUCAGGUCUCUCUCUGUCACCUUGCCAGGGGCAUUUCCUUCCGUCUCAGCCUGACUGCCCUCCUCCAGGGCAAGGACCAUGUCAGGUUCAAUCCCUCCUCCCCUUGGCAAAUAAGGGACACACUUGGGUUGCUGAAGGGACAGGUGAAAUGGAUAGACCCUGUCCCAAACCCAAAGCAUUGGUAAAUUGGUCAGGGGAUGAGACAUCCACGACAGAGGCUAAAAAUGAGGGUGCUGGGCCGGCUGUUCGGAGUCAGGAAUCCUGGCUCAGCAACUAGCUCCAUACCCUUGGAAAAUUCCCUUCCCACUGAGCCUUGGGGAUGCAUGGGGAUCAGCACAAUUAAAAUAUUCAGUAAAUGACCGUUCUUAUCACAGUCAGCAUCACUAUGAAUUUUUCUAGAUACAAAGGAAGAAAAUUAUAGCUACAGAGGACAUAGAGGCAAAUAUCCCCCCUGGUCAAAGGCUGCAUUCAAGCCGUGUCCCUGUGGCAGAGAUCCUCCCAGAGUAGCACGGGUCUGCCCCUGACCCCAUCUAUUUCCUGUUUCCACACCAAGGAGAGAUGCUAUCUUUGCAGCAAUAUACCGAGUCCAGUGGAGUGUGCUGGAAAUAGUCCUCGAUUCCAGUGGUUCAAGCUGGGCCGGGACCCUGCAGCCACACCACCCCUCCCUGGUCCGGCCUCACCAGCUGUUCUGAAGUUAAAUGGACAGGGCGGGAUCCCAACUGCAGUCACUCAGAUGCCCUCUUUUCCAUUUUUGCUGUAUCUGCAAACAAUUAUAGUAUUUUAAAAUUUAAGAUGAGUCAUUAUUAAUACCUAAAUAUAAGUAGCUACUUUAAUGGAAAACUAUAAGGCUGUCCAUAAUGAGGAGAUAAAGGUAAGAAUAAAUACAGCACAAAUGAAAUACUUUACCCUGGUACUUGCAGGGCUCUGGGCCUAAGUCCUGCGGGAGAUAAGCAGAGGCUCGAAAAGUAUCAGAGACAGGAUAGCACCGAACUGAGGCUUCCUCCUCCCUGGUAAAUAGAACACUGAAAGCAAACUGAUGGGGAAUAACUUGAGUCACUCUGUGUUCCCAAGUUAGUGCAGAGGCCAUGUGCAAAUUCACUCCUUCCCUGUGCUUAGAAAACCAAAAGUGGUCAAGUGGAAGUGCUCUGGACCAAGUCUCACGCCAGGGAGUACAGGGGACUGGAGUUAGCAGCUUGGCUCCUGGCGGCAGAGGAGUGCCUUUCUGGGACAACUCUCCCUGGCUGCUUACAGAAACCUCCAGUUGGCCAGGCCAAGGAUUUUCUCCCGCAGGGUUGGUGGGAACCAUCUGAGGAUGGAGUAGACAGGCUGUGGACACCCCCAGGGUGGUGUCCCAUGUUGGAAUCGUUUCCAAGCCACAUGCAGUUUGCAAAGUGUUCCUACAGGAGAAUUCUGUAUUAGAGGGAGGCAGUUCUCUGGCUGGAGUACUCCAGGGAGGGGCUGUCCCACUGAGCAGCCUUUGGACUGACCUGCCCCCAGGGGCAGAGCAAGGGAAAACACUGUUCAGACUGGGGCCUGAUUUUAGAAUUCUGCAAGAGGCACAGGACACACUAUUUUUUUUAAGGAACUAUGUGUUUUUACCACUCUUUCCCACCCCUGGGAAAAGACUGCCCACCCCACUUUGCCCCUCAGAGAUCUCUGAAAGUUCAAGUCAUCAGUGUCAAGGCCACCCCAUUGGGCAUCGAGCAAAGUGAAAAGAUCUCAGGGUGUGAUCCUGAGAUCGCAGCAGGGCAGCAGGAGUGGAGGGGGCUCCUCCUGCUCACUCAGAGGUUCCCACCCAAGCCAGGUCUUGAGAGAAAAAUCCAACAGCUAUACAGCCAUUCAAUCAUCCACCAAAUGGCAUUUUCUGGGGCCCAUCAUCAUACACAAAGGCCUCAGCAAGGGCCAGGGACUUCCCCAAAUUAGCAAAUUUGGGCAGUGUCCUCAGGCGACUGGAGAUCUAGCUAGUCAGACCCACAUAGAAAUAGCUCUGACACUAGUGAGAAUGAGAUUGAGGACUAAAUCCAGUCAUUCAAUCAACACUUACUGGAUGUCUACAGUGCUGGAAACUGCAUUCAAUGGUGAGUACACUUGCCAAGGGGCCCUUCCCUCACAGUCUACAAGUGGAGGUGGUCAUACACAAAAACUACAUCCCAAGUGCAGUAAAGGAUUAGAAAGAGGGCAUGGGAUGCAUGAGGACAUGGACCAGGGGUGUCCUGAUGUCUGAGGAAGUCGGGGAGGGCUUCUCAGAAGAGAUGGCCAUUUGAGCAGGCAGUAAGCACACAAAAGGAGAUGGUCAGAGGGCAUGAGGAGGAGCAGCGUGGUACCUGGGGGCCCUGAGGUGGUGGGCCUGGGGCUUCCUGGCAGGAUGGGAGUGGCCCGAAGGGAAGAGGCCAGCUGGGACUUUGAUGAGGGUGUUACAAUUUAGUCAGAGGACAGUGGGGGCCCACUCAGGACUUUAAGCAUAGGAAGGAUAUGACCAUGUUUGCAUUUUGAAAAAUCACUCUGGGAGGAUGUCUGGGAAUGAUGGGUGGGGAGAGGUGGGGAGUGGAAACAAGAAGACAAGGUAAGAGGCCAAGCAAAUGUUUGAUGUGAUAAUGUAAAAUGUUAAGUACCAUGAAUGUGCUUUUGGCUGGGCAUACCAGGCAUAAGGGUGGGGGUGUGGAGGCAACUUAUUGGAUGACUCUAUUCAUUACAACACCUAGACUCGGCAGCUCUACAGAGACAGGAGGUGGUCUGCCUGUGGUGAGCUGAGAGGGGUUAGAUAGUAAGAUUUCGGUGGUUGCACAGCUUUGUGAAUGUAUUAAAAACCAUUUCCUCGCACAAUUUUAGGUGGGUAAUUAGAUCUCAGUCAAGCUUUUAUAAAGAGAAAAGGGAGGCUGUGACUUGGUGCAGAAGGCUCCAAUGCCAGGCUUAGGACAGCAGCACAGCCAGGAGAGUGCCAGCAGUCUCUCUCUGGUCCAAAAGCUUGAGGGUGGGGUUGAGGCCCCUCCGAUGCCCCUUCUCCUGCCCGGGGUGGACUCCCUGCCAAUGGCCCCUGGCUGGGCCCAGCGCCCUGUCUCCCAGCCUGAGGUGCAGUGCUGCAUCUCUGGUCAGUUGGGAGUCUGAGAUGAAGCACUGUAGCUCAGGAAGGGAGAAGUUGCUCUGCAAUGGCCAGCCUGGAAGCGGUAAGUGGCGGUGGUGUUUGGGGACACCAGGGAGGAUGGGAGUGUUUUUGGUCUCCGUACUGUCAGCUGCUUGUGCUAAGGAAGUUCCUGGACUUAAGUCCUAUCCAGGCCACUGUCUGCCUUGUGAUUCUGGGCAAGUCCUGACUCCUCUAUGCACUCCAGCUCAUCCAUCUGUAAAAUGAAGUGUUGGGGCAUUCAGUGGGGGCUAUCGCCCAGUAUCCUGCCUCUGAUUUCUCUUCCUGAGCCUACAGUGGACACUGCUGAUCAGCCAAGGCAUCUGUUAUUGAAGCAUUCAGAAUCCUUCUCGACACUAAGUCCUGGAGAGCUACUACUAAUGAUUCAGAGCUGAAACCCAUUCAUUGUUUGUGGAUUACACAAUUCCUAAAAAUCCCUAUUUCGCUAAAGAUGAGGUCCUAGACUUUGAAUCAGGCUUUUCACUCUUUGAGCCCCUAACCUGGGCUCCAGGCUAUUGCCUAAACCAAUCCAGGCAUUUCAUAAAUGUCUGACCUCUCUCAAAGGCUACAAACAAGCAGAGAACAACAGAGGAAAAUCACUGGAUUAAACAAUUUUAUUUAACCUCCCGACAAGCUUGGGAAGUGGGCAAUGUUAUGGACCUGCUUUACAGAUGAGAAAACUGAGGCUCAGUAAAACAACUCCUCCAAGGUCUCACACUGACUAUAUUGAGCUAGGGUUGCAGCCUAACCUGUCUGCCUUCAGAUCCACGUUCUUACCCACUGCGUGUGAUUUCACAACCUGGAGGUGAGGGAGGAGGAGGCAAACAAUAAAUCCCACUCUGGUCUUGCCUUUACACCUUGGGUCACUUUUAGCAAAGACAGACCCAGACACUCUCAUCACUCCUACAGACCCCUUUCCUCCCCUCCCCCUGCAGUGGUAUUUACCUCAGCUUAUCGGUAGGUACCAUACUAUCCAAUUUCACAGUUAUUGAAAGCUGAGGUCAAAUGACUUGCUGGACAUCAUCAGUGAGGAAGUUCCCAAACAGAGACUGGGAAGUGGAUCUGCCCGGCUGGUUUAGCAUGAAGCCCUCCCUCUGCCUGGAGACUCAGGAACACACUCGACCCAUGAAAUCAUGGGGGAGGCGGGGCUGGGAUGCCACAUGGCUCCUGGUUGACAGCAUGACGUUGACUAGAAGGUACUUUCCAGGACAUUUGGGGUUCCAGUCACUCCUCAUCCAGGAGCCAUCAGCCGCUGUGAUGCGUGGCAACCACACUGGCUUCUGCAGAUGGAGCUGGAUGCAGAAGAAGGCUCCAGCAGGUCCUCAGGGAUGUGGCCAGGCCUUGGUGCUAACUCUCUCCCCUUGUCCUCACGGUCCAGUUUUCCCAGGAAUCCCUUAGAUGCUAAGAUGGGGAUUCCUGGAAAUACUGUUCUUGAGGUCACGGUCUAACAGCUGGAUUCAAGUCCUUCCCAGCCCACAGCUGUCCCUGUGGGGCCUCAGCUCAAGCACAGGCUAAGGGUUGGGUAGAAGGCCACGCACUAGAGGCAAGAGGGCUUGCACACUGUGUUCUUGACCUUUAAGUUGCUUUUUUUCCCAUUUUGUCCAUUUCAUGACAUCACCAUGAGGCUAAAUGUGGGAGCUUCACCACUGCUGUACUUGAGAAAUUUGUCCCAGCGCUCAGCUGAGUGGCAGUUGGACCAGGACGCCAUAAAGCAUGUUUCUUCUGUGUCCACUCCACCUUUGCCCCACUUCCCAGCAUGCUCUGUGUAGGGGCCACAAUAUCAGAUCCACCACACACAUAAAUUUAUUUUAACCAUUUAUUAAAUCAGUUAGGUAAACUAAAAGUCUUAGUUCAAUUUGGAAUGCAGCUACAGAAAAGUGAAAACAUUUUCAUCGAGGUAAAGAAGACAAAAAAGCUCAGAGCACCCUCUUGUGGUGACGCCCGCCUCUCCCCACUUCAGGAGCACUGGCCUGAGCCCCACCUGUUAGCUCAUUAGCAAUGAUGCCUCCAUCGCUUGACAAGGUACCUUUACUUUCCCAGCCUGGCUUUGUCCUCAAAGCUCCCUGAAGCUCAGUGUUGGUGGGUGAGGCUCAGAGGGAGGCAUGAAGGGACCAAGGUCUCCCAGAUGGCAAAAGGCAGAGCCAGGAUUGAUUCCACGUUCAGUAGCCUAUGGCAAUUACUUAGCCAAAAGCAAAAACUACAAAAAUAAAAAAUAAAAAGAAGACUCACUCUGAAUAAACAUGGGGAAUGCCAAUGAUGGGAAGCCAAAGAGCUGAAGUGGUCCAGGUGCCACACUGGAACUUUCCUCAAAAUCUUCCCUAGUGCUUCUUAUGUUGCUGGUAGAGACAACAGGUGCCAUGGCCCUAGAAUCCUCACUUUGGGUCUGAUCCCCACAUCCCCAGGCUGUCUUCUGAACAGGCCACCAUAAAGACAUUUAUGAAGUAAGAGAUCUCCCUCCAUCUCACAGAGAGACUGGAGCUGAUCUGACUUGCUCAUAAUAAUAAUAAUAAUAAUAAUAAUAAUAGUUUCCACUCAUUGACUAUUUACAAUUUGUCAGGCUCUGUGCUAAACACUUUCACAGGCAUUAUCUCAUUCGACCCUCACAAGUCAGGCAGGCUCCAUUAUGUAUUACACUUCACAGUUAAGGAAACCAAGGCUCAGAGAGGUGAAGAGAUAUAGACUAAGGUCACACAGCUAAUAAGUUGUGAAGCUGGGGUCAAAUCAAGUCUGUGUUUAUGCUUUUAACCUGCCCUUCCCCCUCCCUCCCAUUGUCCUGGCCUGGUGGUCAGGUUGUCUCCAUGUGACCUCCCUUGGGGGAGAGGGUAAAACCAGCCUUCAGUGAGACCCAGCUGGACCCUCCUGUGCUCUGUGACUGUAAUAAAGUGCUGGACCCUUGA
Molecule: long non-coding RNA, 9456 nt
Organism: Manis pentadactyla (Chinese pangolin)
Lineage: Eukaryota; Metazoa; Chordata; Mammalia; Pholidota; Manidae
Exons: 2
Source: RefSeq, a predicted model, not a curated record